Molecule: small RNA, 30 nt
Filed under: Bombyx mori (domestic silkworm)
Lineage: Eukaryota; Metazoa; Arthropoda; Insecta; Lepidoptera; Bombycidae
Description: ovarian small RNA-29835
Source: RNAcentral
UCUCUCGGCGAUUGGCCCUUUCCGGCCAGC